ACUCCUACGGGAGGCAGCAGUGGGGAAUAUUGCACAAUGGGGGAAACCCUGAUGCAGCCAUGCCGCGUGUGUGAAGAAGGCCUUCGGGUUGUAAAGCACUUUCAGUAGGGAGGAAGGUAGUGUAGUUAACACCUGCACUAUUUGACGUUACCUACAGAAGAAGCACCGGCUAACUCCGUGCCAGCAGCCGCGGUAAUACGGAGGGUGCGAGCGUUAAUCGGAAUUACUGGGCGUAAAGCGCAUGCAGGCGGCCUGUUAAGUCAGAUGUGAAAGCCCGGGGCUUAACCCUCGGAAUUGCAUUUGAAACUGGCAGGCUAGAGUCUUGUAGAGGGGGUAGAAUUUCAGGUGUAGCGGUGAAAAUGCGUAGAGAUCUGAAGGAAUACCAGUGGCGAAGGCGGCCCCCUGGACAAAGACUGACGCUCAGAUGCGAAAGCGUGGGGAGCAAACAGGAUUAGAUACCCUGGUAG
This 467-nucleotide ribosomal RNA is filed under the name uncultured bacterium. Its description in RNAcentral is "bacterial SSU rRNA". It matches the Rfam family "Bacterial small subunit ribosomal RNA", at positions 335 to 793 of the family's 1533-position model. The record is from RNAcentral.